GAUGAACGCUGGCGGCGUGCCUAAUACAUGCAAGUCGAGCGAACGGACGAGAAGCUUGCUUCUCUGAUGUUAGCGGCGGACGGGUGAGUAACACGUGGAUAACCUACCUAUAAGACUGGGAUAACUUCGGGAAACCGGAGCUAAUACCGGAUGAUCUUUUGAACCGCAUUGUUCAAAAGUGAAAGACGGUCUUGCUGUCACUUCUCGAUGGAUCCGCGCUGCAUUAGCUAGUUGGUAAGGUAACGGCUUACCAAGGCAACGAUGCAUAGCCGACCUGAGAGGGUGAUCGGCCACACUGGAACUGAGACACGGUCCAGACUCCUAAGGGAGGCAGCAGUAGGGAAUCUUCCGCAAUGGGCGAAAGCCUGACGGAGCAACGCCGCGUGAGUGAUGAAGGUCUUCGGAUCGUAAAACUCUGUUAUUAGGGAAGAACAUAUGUGGAAGUAACUGUGCACAUCUUGACGGUACCUAAUCAGAAGGCCACGGCUAACUACGUG
RNAcentral lists this ribosomal RNA (497 nucleotides) under uncultured bacterium. RNAcentral describes it as "partial 16S ribosomal RNA". It matches the Rfam family "Bacterial small subunit ribosomal RNA", at positions 28 to 507 of the family's 1533-position model. The record is from RNAcentral.